This 483-nucleotide ribosomal RNA is filed under the name uncultured bacterium. RNAcentral describes it as "partial 16S ribosomal RNA". It matches the Rfam family "Bacterial small subunit ribosomal RNA", at positions 28 to 507 of the family's 1533-position model. The record is from RNAcentral.
GACGAACGCUGGCGGCGUGCUUAACACAUGCAAGUCGAACGCUGAAGCGCAGCUUUUUUUGGGUGGAUGAGUGGCGAACGGGUGAGUAACACGUGAGUAACCUGCCCCCUUCUUUGGGAUAACGCACGGAAAGGGGUGCUCAUACUGGAUAUUCACUGGUCUUCGCGUGGGGGUUGGUGGAAAGGGUUUUUCUGGUGGGGGAUGGGCUCGCGGCCUAUCGGCUGGUUGGUGGGGUGAUGGCCUACCAAGUCUUUGACGGGUAGGCGGCAUGAGAGGGUGAACGGGCACAUUGGGACGGAGAUACGGCCUAGACUCGUAAGGGAGGGAGAAGUGGGGACUAUUGCACAAAGGGCGCAAGACUGAUGCAGCGAGGAGGCGGGAGGGAUGGAGGCCGUAGGGUUGUGAACCUCGGUCGCAAAUGGUUAAGCCGAAACAAGGGUGGUGGUGAGGGUAGUGGGUAAAGAAGCGCCGGCUAACUACGUG